Lolium perenne is the source of this 599-nucleotide non-coding RNA. The record is from RefSeq and is a predicted model, not a curated record. Lineage: Eukaryota; Viridiplantae; Streptophyta; Magnoliopsida; Poales; Poaceae.
AGAAUGACACUACCUCCACCAAGCAGCAAGUCAUGCAUGUGCGUGCAGUUCACACGCAAGAAAUUCCAACCAGUGAGUAUGAAGCUUUAGAUUUCAGACACCCAGUUGCUACUACUAUCUAGAGCUUUUGCAUAUGCAUGCAGUUCACAUGCAAGAAAUUCCAACCGGCAGUACCUGGAAGUGUUCUGGCAGCUGUGAAUCGACUGUGAGGUCUUCCUUAGGUACCCCUGCAUUACUACCUUAUCAACUGGUGUUAGGUCAUGUUCAGAAACUCUCUGAGCCACUACAGUUUGGUUAUCCAGGAGAUUCACAGACAUCGACAACAACCAUCUGUAGUUUAGGAUCGACUUCUUCCUCUCCUCCUAGGAAUGGCUCUCUCUGUUUGGUGGAAUAGGAAGGGAGCAAGUAGGAAACUGUGAAAAUAAUUCAGGUCUGAUCCUCCACAUCAAGCACCAGGCAACAAGGUCACGAGGAUCCUACUACAGAACUAUUCAUGUCCCUGAUACGCUAAUGGUAACUAUUAGUUCUCCAUGUAACUGUACCAUCUGCUAGCAUCUCCCUGGACCUUGUGACGAUAGAAAUCUCCACCGUCCCCACCA